CUCCGCCCGAUUCCAAAAGCCCAGGGGGUGGGCCUCGCCCUUCCUCUCCCUCCAGGUUUAAUUAUCUGAAGAGUCUUGGACUUUCAUUUCUUGUUUUUUGCUUGUUUGCUUGUUUGUUUGCACCUGGUUGAUGUAUAAGUCUUGGACUUUGGGAGACCCAAAAGAGAAGGAAGGUGUUGGCAAUAUCCUUGAAGAGACUAAAAGAACUCAGAACAACACUGAACAAGCCAGCAGAGCCAUCAACUCACCCCUACAGUCUCCAUACACAGACUCCAUGAAAGCAUUGGCCAUCAGCUCUCACUGGUUUCUGCCCCAAAUUCACACACUCCCUCCUAUCACCAAAGCCACCCGCCACCGCUGGCCUCCUGCAUGCUGUGGGAGGAGAGGAGGGCAGACAACGUUGCCUCCCCUGACUCCCAUCGCGCGGGCUUGUGAGUCCAUGGAGCGCAGUUGUCCAGGGAACUAUCCGAUGCAGCAUGAGAGGAAGGUGAUGCAGCGGCAUCCCACCUUGAGAUGAGAGAAAGCUGUUCUGGGCUUCCAGUGAUUGGCAGCUGAGGUCACUCCUUUGCCCAUACCCCCGCCCCGAGACUGUUUCCAGUGCCCCAAGUUCACCUCAAGGAUCAUUGCACAGCAGAAAUGUAAGGAGGCCACCAGCCAAGAAAUGCUGUCAGUGCCUGGAAGCUGGAAAGGCAAUGAAAUGGAUUUUCCCCAGAACCUCCAGGGAGAAUAUGGCACAGCUUCUACCUUGAUUUUCACCCAGUGAGACACAUUUUGGAUUUCUGACCUAAAGAAUUGUAAGGCUGCCUGGAUCCCCAGAGUUUGUCUGGAAAGCCUCUUGAGAUGGGGUUAUGUGCUCCGAGGAUCCCAGGAGGAAGGAUGGGGCAAGAGCAGACAAACCUAUGCCUCUACAGCAGCUGUACCGUUGUCCUGGGAGUGAGCCCCAGCCGUGGCUCAAGGCACACGUGCCUCCAGAGGACAAUCUGGGAUGCUCAGGGGACAGAGAGGCAGAGGGACUAUCAGGGUGAAGCUGUCUUUUUCACUUGUUUGGCACUCAGCCCAGGGCCUGGAUUUAUCCUGCACAAAAUGAACAGUGCAGGGCCCUUCAUCUGGGGAAAG
RNAcentral lists this long non-coding RNA (1116 nucleotides) under Homo sapiens (human). RNAcentral describes it as "long intergenic non-protein coding RNA 303". Lineage: Eukaryota; Metazoa; Chordata; Mammalia; Primates; Hominidae. The record is from RNAcentral.